Molecule: long non-coding RNA, 479 nt
Filed under: Homo sapiens (human)
Lineage: Eukaryota; Metazoa; Chordata; Mammalia; Primates; Hominidae
Description: non-protein coding lnc-FAM71E2-1:1
Source: RNAcentral
GCGGACUCAGAAGCGAGCGGCACCCCGGGACCAUCCCACAGCAGAUCCAGUGGCCGCCAACGUCAGGCUGGAGUUGCCUCCUUCGUGGAUGUUGGAUGUGGAAGCCCAGGAGCCCCCCAAGGGGAAAUGGUCGACGCCGCCCUUCGACCCGCGCUUCCCCAGCCAGAACCAGAUCCGUAACUGCUACCAGAACUUCCUGGACUACCACCGCUGCCUCAAGACCAGGACCCGCCGCGGGAAGAGCACGCAGCCCUGCGAGUACUAUUUCCGCGUGUACCACUCGCUGUGCCCCAUCAGCUGGGUGGAGAGCUGGAACGAGCAGAUCAAGAACGGGAUUUUCGCCGGCAAAAUCUGACUGCCCCAGCGCGGCUUCCUCUGAAGAUGCAGUGAUCCUGCAUCUUUUUGUCUCGCGGAGCCCCGGGUCUCGGUUAUCCACCCCUACCUCCCAGUGUCUAAGCCACGAAUAAUGGUAUGCUGUU